RNAcentral lists this ribosomal RNA (213 nucleotides) under Clostridioides difficile. RNAcentral describes it as "partial 23S ribosomal RNA". It matches the Rfam family "Bacterial large subunit ribosomal RNA", at positions 1360 to 1569 of the family's 2925-position model. Lineage: Bacteria; Bacillati; Bacillota; Clostridia; Peptostreptococcales; Peptostreptococcaceae. The record is from RNAcentral.
GAAGGUUCGUCCGCCCUGGGUUAGUCGGGACCUAAGCUGAGGCCGAAAGGCGUAGGUGAUGGACAACAGGUUGAUAUUCCUGUACUACCGAUAACCGUUUGAGAGAUGGGAUGACACAGUAGGAUAAGCUAAGCACACUGUUGGUUAUGUGUGCCCAAGCAUUGAGGCAGUCAAAGUAGGCAAAUCCGCUUUGAUAAUGCUGGGAUGUGAUGG